Photinus pyralis (common eastern firefly) is the source of this 689-nucleotide long non-coding RNA. RefSeq lists it as uncharacterized. NCBI's taxonomy places the organism in Eukaryota, Metazoa, Arthropoda, Insecta, Coleoptera, Lampyridae. The transcript is spliced from 3 exons. The record is from RefSeq and is a predicted model, not a curated record.
GAAAAUAAUUCAUAUAUACUUGAGAAAAUAAAACUGUAACAGUAAGAAACGUUUUGCAUGCACCGUGCACGAUUCAAAGCUACGUCAAGAGUUGUCUGACCGCAAUAUUAAAUGAUAAUGUAUGUACAUCAAAUGGCAACGAGCAGAGAUUUCAACUAGAAAUUGUUAUGGAAUUGGUGCCAAUUGAAUCGAGAAGAGGCGACCACCUGCAGAGGUGAAGAGCUACAACCCGCACAGCGGCGACAAGGUGUUUGCCACUAUUCCCAUUCCUAACUACAAGUUAACUAACGUACAACUAUAGUACACCAGUGGAGUACGUCAACAAAUUUAGGCGGUAGUAUCAAGUAUUUUUGACUGAUUUUGAUGAUGAUUGAACUUCGAUGGUACAAUUAAACAUAAUAGAGUUUGUUUGAGCGUCAAAGGAGUCUAUAACACUUAUUAAACAAGUGCCAUCGUUGACCUCACCACAAGCCGUGCUGCAAGACAAACGUCAUGAAUGCCGCCACAUAAUCGUCCGCUUUUGCAUAAGAAAGUAAAGAUAAACACACAAUAUUGAAUUACAGGAUGAGAGGUUCCACCCUGUAUAUACAACUUACGACGAUACAUACAUGUUUGAGGUUGGCAACCAUGCAAUUUCUACGUGGGGAAAAGCCGCCUCCUCCAUCUAGAAAGCACGAACAGGGGUUACG